CAUGGGAUUUCACCGGAUAGGUGCUGACACUCUGGGCAAUGUAACUCUUCAAGCAUCUCCAAUUGCCCAAUGGCAUCAGGCAACUUUCCUAUCUUGGUGUUUCCCAUCCUGAUGAAUUUGAGCUUCCUCAAAUUUGCGAUUGAAUCAGGUACAUUGACUACUCCUGAGAAUGACAGAUCUAAGUAAAUCAGCGAUUCUAAUUUCCCAAGUGAGUGCGGUGAGAGUGCUAGUAUGAACAAAAUAAAGGAGUUAAGGAAGAGAAUAAGAACACAAGAUUUAUAGUGGUUCGGCUUAAUCCAAGCCUACGUCCACUCUCCCACGAUAACAGCCUUCUUGGCUGGAUUCCACUAUGCAAUCAACAAGAGAUUACAACUCCGAGUGCAAACACUUAGUAGUAGAUCACACUAUCUCACUAAGUCACUCUCUUGGUAUUUCUCUCACGAUUACAAACGUUUAAGCUCUCAAGAGACAAGUAUAUGAUCUAAAGUCGCUUAGACUUUGGAAUUAUAAAUUCUACGCUCUGUCUCUUACUUGCUCAUCGGUCCAUGAUCUCCUUAAAUACUCCUCCACUUCCAAACUACCCGUUGGACAGCAUCCCGGAGAAUCGUCUUCCAAUAUACCCAUUGGACAGCUCUGUAUCUUAGAAGAUUUGGUAGCCGUUGAGUGACAAAGGUAAAAUCCCAAAUUGAUUCCGAUCGCCCAUACAAACGAAAUCUUGGUUUCCAUAAGUAAAGCUUCUUCGUAUAGAAAGUUCUUGUCUUCAACAUCCAAUUGUCAAUCAAUUAGAUUGAAUCAAUCAAAUCAAUCUUGAUGUGGAAUCCAAACCAGAUCACUAGCCGUUGUAUGAUUGGGCUUGAGUUACGAUUCAUUGAAUCUGGAUGUAAAGUCUGAUAGCCAUAGACUUUACAAUUUGGGUCUUUAGACUUUAGAAUCUGAGUCUGUAGACUUUACAAUCUGGGUCUGUAGACUUUACAAUCUGUACCUAGUUCAACUUUAGCAUAGAGUCUGUCUUCUGGUUCAGCUUCAGCAUAGAGUCUGUCUUCUGGUUCAUCAUUCACGUUUAGUCUUCUGGUUCAUCAUUCACGUUUAGUCUGUAAUUAGUCAGAGUGAGCAGACUUCUGAUGUAGAAUAGACUUUGACACUAAAGUCUGGCAGUCUUCAGACUUUGAGUCUCGAGUCUGGCAGUCUUCAGACUUUGAGUCUUGAGUCUAGCAGUCUUCAGACUUUGAUAAUAUCAUUUGCAGUCUUCAGACUUUGAUAAUAUCAUUUACAUGUUCUAUUAUCUGCAUGGUCUAUUACUCAACCAUUAAACAUGUUAGUAGCCUUUGAUUUAUUUUGUCAUCUUCAAAACAUCAUAAGGGAUUUCCCUAACAAUCUCCCCCUUUUUGAUGAUGACAAAACAAUCUCUGAAUAUGCAGAUUUAAAAAUUUAAAUCAAAGGAUAUCAGAAGAUAGAAAAUAAUUGCAGCUCAAUAUUAUGCAAUAAAUAAUAUCAACCAAUCAGCACAUAUGCAUAUUCAUAUCUUCUCCCCCUUUUUGUCAUAAUCAAAAAGCGAUAAUGGAUUCACGUAGAGAAUGAUAACAAAUAUCUUGCAUGAAUCACAAUUCCCAAAAAUCAGCUUUUAUCGAAUAUUAAAGAUAUGCAAUAUAGCUCACUUCGAUUAUAUCAGCAAAUAUCCAAUAAAAAUCACGGAUGCAUCAUAAAAUUCACGUACCAUUUUUGUCAUAAUAAAAUGAUAAUAUCAAUAUGAGAUUUGUUAAUGACAAAAGGUAAUAAGAGAUGCACUAACCGGAUUUUGUAGAAUAAAUUCUGACACAAUUACAUUUCCUUCCAUCCAUAAUAAGAUCACGAUCAAUCAAAAAAGAUUUUUCCAUAAUUGAUCAAAGCUCCCCCUCAAUUUGUUGCCUUUUUUUGAGAUGAUCACGAUUCUUUUCCUUUUCUUUUGGAUUCGAUUUCUCCCCCUUGAUUUCCUCAUCGGAUUCUGAGUCUUGUUCUGAAUCAGACUCUGAUUCUGAGUCUGUGUCUGAGUUAGACUCAGAUUCUGAAUGUGCCAUCAAGCAUAGAUUUCUUUGCUCAUCAUCUUCUUUCAUGAUUCUUUUCUGGCCAUUAUGCUUGUAUUGACUUCUUCCACUGAAUUUCCUUUCUUUUCUACUCAGCUUUUUGAAUUUCUCGACCAUAAAGGCAAAUUCUUCAUCAUCCAUGUCAUUUUCUGAGUCUGUUUCAUCAAAACAGCAUUAGAUAUUAAAGCAAUGGACUUCUUACCUUCGGGAUCUUCAUCGUUAAGUUGCUCCACUUCAUAGAUUGAAGAGUGCCGAUCAAUUCAUCANNNNNNNNNNNNNNNNNNNNNNNNNNNNNNNNNNNNNNNNNNNNNNNNNNNNNNNNNNNNNNNNNNNNNNNNNNNNNNNNNNNNNNNNNNNNNNNNNNNNAAGAGUUUGUUGACCUUUAUUGGGGAAGAAUAGGAUGACCUUGACAUGCCAAACCGUUUACAAUUUCUGUAAAACGAUUAAACAUAUCUCCAAUUGACUCUCCUUGCUUCAUCUUGAAGGAUUCAUAUUUGCCGAGCAAGAAGUUUACUUUUGUCUCUUUUACACGAUCGGUCCCUUCAUAUGUAACAUGAAGUUUAUCCCAAACUUCUUUUGCUGUUUCACAUGAAGAGAUUCUAUUAUAUUCAGCAAGAGAUAAAGCGCAAUAUAAAGAAUAAAUUGCUUUUGCAUCAAGCGCUUCUCUUUUGGACAUCUCCAUUCGAGACAUAGGAGCGAUGGGGUUGAUUCCUCUUUCCACAACAUCCCAUUGUAAGAGAUCUCUGGAUCUUAGGAAUGCUUUCAUCUUGUUCUUCCAUACGUCAUAUUCCUUUCCAUCAAAAUAUGGUGGCCUUGUGUUGCUUUGCCCUUCCAUAAGUCCUGGUGCCAACAUACUAGCCAUAAAAGAUCUUUAGCUCAAAAGUAAAAACACUUUUAUAAACCGAGCACUUGGCUCUGAUACCAAUUGAGAGUGCUAGUAUGAACAAAAUAAAGGAGUUAAGGAAGAGAAUAAGAACACAAGAUUUAUAGUGGUUCGGCUUAAUCCAAGCCUACGUCCACUCUCCCACGAUAACAGCCUUCUUGGCUGGAUUCCACUAUGCAAUCAACAAGAGAUUACAACUCCGAGUGCAAACACUUAGUAGUAGAUCACACUAUCUCACUAAGUCACUCUCUUGGUAUUUCUCUCACGAUUACAAACGUUUAAGCUCUCAAGAGACAAGUAUAUGAUCUAAAGUCGCUUAGACUUUGGAAUUAUAAAUUCUACGCUCUGUCUCUUACUUGCUCAUCGGUCCAUGAUCUCUUUAAAUACUCCUCCACUUCCAAACUACCCGUUGGACAGCAUCCCGGAGAAUCGUCUUCCAAUAUACCCAUUGGACAGCUCUGUAUCUUAGAAGAUUUGGUAGCCGUUGAGUGACAAAAGUAAAAUCCCAAAUUGAUUCCGAUCGCCCAUACAAACGAAAUCUUGGUUUCCAUAAGUAAAGCUUCUUCGUAUAGAAAGUUCUUGUCUUCAACAUCCAAUUGUCAAUCAAUUAGAUUGAAUCAAUCAAAUCAAUCUUGAUGUGGAAUCCAAACCAGAUCACUAGCCGUUGUAUGAUUGGGCUUGAGUUACGAUUCAUUGAAUCUAGAUGUAAAGUCUGAUAGCCAUAGACUUUACAAUUUGGGUCUUUAGACUUUAGAAUCUGAGUCUGUAGACUUUACAAUCUGUACCCAGUUCAACUUUAGCAUAGAGUCUGUCUUCUGGUUCAGCUUCAGCAUAGAGUCUGUCUUCUGGUUCAUCAUUCACGUUCAGUCUGUAAUUAGUUAGAGUGAGCAGACUUCUGAUGUAGAAUAGACUUUGACACUAAAGUCUGGCAGUCUUCAGACUUUGAGUCUUGAGUCUGGCAGUCUUCAGACUUUGAGUCUCGAGUCUGGCAGUCUUCAGACUUUGAGUCUUGAGUCUAGCAGUCUUCAGACUUUGAUAAUAUCAUUUACAUGUUCUAUUAUCUGCAUGGUCUAUUACUCAACCAUUAAACAUGUUAGUAGCCUUUGAUUUAUUUUGUCAUCUUCAAAACAUCAUAAGGGAUUUCCCUAACAUGCGGAAGCUCCUUGAUCCUUUUGCAACCUUCUAUAGACAAAUGCUUGAUUUUCACUAGUACUCCAAUAGAGUGUGGGAGUCUGCUUAUUGUCUCAUUCCAUUUUAUACUCAAACUCGACAAAAAUUGCAAAUUGCCAAUUGUCUCCGGAAGCUUGCACAGUAGAGAAUUUUUGGGCUUGAUUAACUCCAUCAAAGAGUUUAGAGAACCAACUUCUUUUGGCAAUCCUGAAGAGAAUUGCAUCCUUCCAUAUUCAGAGUGCUCAAGUUCUGUAGGUUAAUAAUGGAGCGAUCUAUGGUGACUAACUUGGAACACCAAGCAAGAAUCAAUAUCUCCAGAUACGUGAAGUUAGACAAGUCAGGUGUGCUUCUCAAGCAAUUGCAGCUUCUCAAAUCUAAAACUUUUAACUUUUUCGCCAUCUGCACAAAAAUUAAACAUCAAAUAAAGAAGGACAAAAAACAUUGUGUUCCAAGAAUUAGAAGCAUCAAAAGCCAAUAUGGGGAGACAUUAAUACCUUGAUUUGACUCCACCCAGUCCAGUCUUCAGUAAUUUUACUCCUGGAAAGGUCGAGCACCACCAAAUUAACUAGGCAAAAAUUCGUCGCUGUAAAAUUUAGAGGACACUCAUGCCAAGAAAGCCAUCUUAGCUCUCAAUGAUCUUUGAAGUUCCCAACAAAAUUCAACCCUUUCCCUCGGAGGACCCUUAGACUCCGUAGUCUCUGUAAUUCUUCAUCAGUGAAGGUAUAGCCACUACCAUCACUUUGACCAUUAUAGCUCAGACUCAGUGCUUCUAUUUCUUCACUUGCCUGCCAUGAGAGAUCAAGCAUGAAUGAGAACAAAUAAUACAAUAAAGGAAAAAGUUAACUCUGUGAGCCACUUGUGAAGUUUGUCUACUUCCCGGAAAUAACUAGCAGAAUGGCCUCUAAAUUACAUUCUGUUAAGUUAUACCUGUUUAUUCCUCAAUAAAUUCAAUGCCUCCUCAGGAUUCCAUACCCUGCUACGCUUGCCAGGAAAUUUGCAAUUCUCUUCGUAGACAAUGUGUCUUCUAAGAUCCCUAACUUGGUCAUGCAUUGAAAACUUAUUAUCAUCUCCAAUCUUUAUCAAGGACCUAAGAAGGAGGACUCUGAUUGCGUCAUGAGGUUAGUAUUCACAAUCGCUCCACAUGAAUAUCGGAUAUUUAUUAUUUUCUUUGAUGAAAAAGCACACGAUGUCCAGAAAAACUUUCUGCUGCAUUGGUUCUAAUCCCUCGUAACUUAUCAUCAACGUCUCUUGGACUUCCUUUGGAGGAACUUUAUGUAACCUCUUCAGCGUCUCUUCCCAUAAGGCCUUGUCAGUGGAAACGCUAGAAAGAGAUGAACCUAUCACCUCGAUAGCCAAAGGAAGCUUCCCUAAAGUUGAGACGAUCUGUCUUGAUAGGAUAUUGUAGUCUUCUAUAGGAAAGUCUCUUCUAAAGGAAUGUCGGCAGAAUAGCUGAAGCGCUUGACUGAAUCCCAUUUCCUUGACUUCAUACGUCAAGAUUCGUUCAUGUCGAUUCGGGACAGCGUCGACCUCUAAUGUUUCCAUCCAGUCAGUCAGGACGCUCAUGUUCGAUUCGGGACAGCGUCGACCUCUAAUGUUUCCAUCCAGUCAGUCAGGACGCUCAUGUUCCUAGUUGUUAUAAUGACCCUGCUUCCGUUUUCAAACCAAUCGCUCUUCCCAACUAGCUUUUCGAGCUGCUCUUUUUUUUCCACAUCAUCGAGCACAAUGAGGAUUUUCUUGUCACAAAGUGCCUUCUUUAUCAUGCCAAUCCCUUGGUCAUUGUCACGAACAAAAAUACUGUUGCUGCACGUCGAAUGGAGGAUGCUUGACAGCAGUUGCUUCUGCAAGUAGAUGAUACCGUCUGAUCUUCUAGAGAUCUCUCGGACAUUUUCGAGGAAACUGUAGCGGUCAAAGCGAGAAUAUAAUUUGUUGUAAAUGACUUUUGCGAGUGUUGUCUUACCAAUGCCACCUAUUCCAUGGACUCCCACAAAACGCACGCCACUGUAGUCAAUGUCCAACAACUUCAUUAUUGCAUCAAUCUGAACAUGAUCUUUGACUAAAUGUUCAGUCACAUUCUUAUAUCUGGCAUUCAGCUUAAUCAGGACCUCCUGGACGAUCUCUUUGAUGAGUUUGCCAUAGCUGCACCGAUGCGUGAGACAAUUCAUUUCACUUUAGACAUGAAAUUGAAGAGCGUAUGAUGAAAAAAAAAUUCAGAAACAGGAGACUCAUCACUCUCCUAGUUUCUGAACAUUCUCCUAUUUUCUCAAAUAUAAUGGAUCUGAAGAGAAAAUAAGGUUACUCUACGAAAUUCCUUACCCUGUAUAAGUUUCCAAGCUCCAUCGCUUUACUUCCUCAACCUCCAUGAGGGCGUCACGCCACACCUUCACUUGGUCUGCUCCAAAGUUCCUCUCGUGCUGUACGAACGCGUCGUGAUACAGCGGAGUCUUGAGCUUGACGUCAUCCGAAUUCACGUGAAGAUAAAUGGGGAGAAUCUCUUUCGUGCUGUCCGACUUUGAUGCCAUCGUAACCAUCUUAGUGAGCUCGAUGAGGCACCAUUUGCUGGACGCAUAGUUCCUUGACAAGAUGGGCAUGUAGAUCCUAGAGCUCUCGAUGGCCCGAGGGAACUCUUCCUUGAUCCUUUGCCCGACUUGGAGCUCGUCAUCAUCCCUGAAGACGCGGAUCCCAGCGCCUUUCAUGCCUUCGUAGAGGUAAUUGGUGAAUGUUUCGCGACUGUCAGCCCCUUUGAAGCUUAAGAACACCUUGUACUCAAUUCUCGAGCCUCCAUCUCUCUCCAUUGCAGGAACCAUCCUCUGGGAAGCCAGAACCUGAGGGUCUGAAAUUUAUACACCAAACUCUCUCUGAAGUAGCACUAUCGAUUUUGUUGGUAAUUUCAUGAUGAUUAAUGGUGGUGUAGCGCCCCUUCAAGAAACAAGCGACCCCGUUGACCAACAUACCACGCCCGUUGACACUUGCAUGUGAGGGGGGCAAGUUCCGGAGAUGCUGAGACUACACCCUGGAUUUGAUUUAAGAAAUCCAGCCUUCGCGUUCGUCAAUGUCGUUAUUCGUGGGAAACGGCGAAUGUCUGUAUAAUUAUAUCAUAUCAAAAUAGAGAUUACCAACUUAAUCAAAAUUGCAGUUGCAUCUUUGACUAACAUGUUCAAUCAAAUGAUUCUUAUCCGUAGCUAAAAAGCACUAGCCGACCCAAUUGAAGUAUUACCCCACUACUUCAUAAUAAAACAAUAUGAUAAAUGUUGUUGAGAUUGCUCAGCUCGAGAGAAAAAAGAUCAGCAUUAAGAUGACCCUUAAAUGUGCGGUGAAUGGACACAUUUGCAUUUAAUGCAACUAGUUUGAGCAGUGUAGCAUCAACUAGGUGGUGCAAGAUCAGGUUGGUUUUGCUGGGGAAUUUCCUAGCUCAUGGAUCAUCAUAGCACUUCCUAUUUUAGAUUACAGAAUCAAGGAAAAUGAGAUUUUAUGUAGGUAAUUCCAUGUCAUAUUAACUUCAUAAUUCUACAGGUGAGUAUAAGAAAGGAUACAUCUGCAGAAUCUAGAAAAUACUCAGCAACCUACAAUAAUGGCGUCGACGAGAUAAGACAAUUCAUCUCUCGUUUACACAUCUACCAACAAACACAUGGCAAUUAUUUUACCUAAAAAAAAAAAAUUUUCUUAAAUGAAUUUUCUUAAGGAGUAUCUAAUUGGCAUUUGUCAAGCAAUUGAUUGUGAAAAUUCUUUAAUAUUUUUAUGCACCGAAAUUUCUUGUAUUAUGAACGUCUUAAAAAUUGAACUGCUGCAUGUCAAAUAUGACAAGUAUCUGCAAAACCACCUGUUUAUAAUCAAUUUUCCAAAAUUAGAAUUGAUUUUUUGUUUCAUUUUGUGAUGAUAAAUGACCAACUUUGACUCAGUGGCUGGAGUAUUGCUUUCGCAUGGCAAGACUCGUCAUUUCAAAUCCAGCAGUAGGUAGAUCUUUUAUUAUAAAGUUGGAAGAGAGAGAGAAAGAGAGAUUUUGGGCUCAUUUAUUUUUUAUUUUUUGGGUCAGAAAUAUAGGUAUUGCAUUACUAAUUGACAGCUUUACAAAAGAACUGGGUAUUACAACCGGAAGCUAUUGCUUCGGCAGCUACCAAGCUUUGUAAGAUAAAAGCAGGAAAAUGUUCCAGUUAUGGGCCAUAUCAGAUCUACCGUGGGCCUUGGCAGCCCAAUCAGCAGCACCAUUAGCUUCCCUCUUGCAAUGCUGAAGUCUGAAAUUAGGGCACAGGGAAAGCAAAUGACCAAUCUCUGCGAACAACGCUCGUUCUUCCCAUGGGGGAUUCCGUUUCUCAUGAAGAAUCUCGAGCAGGACCAAACAGUUAGAUUCGAUGAUAAUAUUGGCCAUAUUGAGUCCCUGAUGCAGCAGAUGAUGAAGAGCGAAAGCGAGCACCUGUACUUCGGCUUGAAAGGGAGAAGCGGCGGGACAUCGUCGAGUAUAGACAUCGGUAAGUACCCCUUGAUGAUUUUUGCUGAUACACGCUACGUUUCCUUCUUGACUUCCCGGUUGAUGAGAUGCGUCUAUAUUGCAUUUGAGGUAUCCCCGAUCUGGAGGUUUCCAAAGUAAAACUGAUCCACGAUUAGUGGGAUGCCCUGUUUGUGAUUCCUCCGAUCGUUGAUGAUUUGUAGAAGAAAGGCCGUGAAUCCGUGUCAGGGCAAAAGCGUCGAUCACAGCUCGGGUUGGAUCAGGACGGAUUCGACGGAAGAUCCGAUUGUUGCGUUGGCACCAAAUCUGCCAGAAUAGAUGGGCGAUAGUCUCCAAUCCAGGUACUAGUUUAGUGUUUGUUGCUCUGUCUGAAAACCACUCGUCGAGACGAUGAAUGUUGAGAGGAGAGACUGGAAUGUUGAUCUGCUGAUGAUUCCAUAUCCCGUGUGUCCAUGAGCAAAAGAAGAAUAAGUGUUCAAAUGUUUCUGGAGAGUGUUGAUUGCAUAUUUCACAAAUAGGAUCAGAGAUGAUAUGCCUAGCAAAUAGAUUAGCCUUGGUAGGAAGGGCAUUGUGGCAUGCUGACCAUAAAAAUAGACGGAUUUUCUGAUCUGUGUUGAUUUUCCAUAAUUUGCGCCAAAGAAUGCUGGGUUGUUGGUAUGAUGAUGAUGCGUGGUGACCCCGUGGCGUUACUGGCUUGCUGACAAUAGUCCUGUAAUUGCUUUUUACUGUAUGAUUGCCAUCUUUCGUGGCUGUCCACACUAACUGAUCAGCAACAUGUAGCGGUCUGAUAGGGAGAUUAAGUAUUUCUGAUGUGAUGUUGGCAUCAAAUAAAUCUAUUAUAAGAUGAACAUUCCAGGUAUGGUGGACAGGGUCAAUAAGAUUUGCCACCAGCCCUGGUUCGUCUCUUGUAGCUGGUCCUCCAAUUGGGCUAGAGGGUAACCAGCUAUGAUCACGAAUUUUGAUGUUCUUUCCAUCCCCAACAGACCAUCAUACAUUAGGUAGGAUGGCGUCCCUUCCAAAAAGGACACUCCGCCAACCCCAGGAUGGGCGCGUGCCGAGUUCAGCUAAGUGAACAUCUUUAGUUUGGAAAUAUAAUCCUUUGAAGAGUCGACACCAUAACAAGUUUGGCUGUUGAAGUAGACGCCACGCUUGCUUGCCAAGUAGCGCUUUGUUAAAGGCUAACAAAUCUCGGAAGCCUAACCCACCAUUCACCUUGGCUGUUUUUAACAAAUCCCAACUUUGCCAAUGCACUCCACCCCUCUGUUUAUCGUUUCUCCACCAGAAAUUGGAGAUUUUCUGUUCAAUCUUAUGACACAAUGAUAUAGGAAGUUUGAAAAUGGACAUAGCAUACUGCGGAAUAGCUUGCACGACAGAUUUCAGUAGGAUUUCCUUGCCCCCUUUUGAUAAUAAAAGUUAUUUCCAGCCCUCAAGUUUUGCAUUUACCUUGCCUAAUAUCCAGCUAAACAUGUAUGUUUUGGAUCGUCCCCAAUCAGAUGGAAUUCCUAAGUAUUUCCCAUACUUCUGUAAUAUCGGUACCCUAAAUUCUGCCGCUAAAUUGAACUGAAGACUCCAAGGACAGGUUUUAGUAAAAAACAUGCCAGACUUAUUCCUAUUAAUGACUUGGCCAGUAGCUAGACAAUAUUGAUUCAAGAUAUUGGCUAGAUUCUGACAUUCCAUGAGGGUUCCUUUAAGGAAGAAGACCGAAUCAUCAGCGAAAAAUAGAUGGGAAAGAAUAGGACAAAACCUGUUAAGCUGGAUCCCUUUUAGAUGGCCCAUAUUUACAGCUUGAUGAAUAAGGGAGGAAAGAACAUUCGCCACUAAAAUGAAGAUAUAAGGGGAAAGUGGGUCCCCUUGACGUAAGCCUCUUGAUGGUUGGAAAUAUUGGAGUUGUUCUCCAUUGAAACGUACACUUAAAGAUGAAGUUAUGAUACAUUGCAUCACCAUUCUAACCCAGGAGUGAUGAAAACCCAAUUUAAGUAGAUAAUCCUGUAGGAAAUCCCAUUCAACCUUGUCGUAGGCUUUUUGCAUGUCCAUCUUGAGUAGUGCAUUAAAAUGACGCUUCCUGAUCCUUGUUUUGAAGUGAUGAAUAACCUCCUGAACAAUUAACACAUUAUCCUGAAUUUGACGCCCGCUCACGAAGGCAACCUAUUCCAUUGAGAUGAGUUCACCAAGCCACGGUUUGAGAUGAUUCACCAACACCUUAGAGAUAAUCUUAUAAGCAUAAUUACACAGGCUAAUCGGUCGAAAUUGAUCGAGGCUCUCAGGGUGGUUGAUCUUAGGGAUCAACACUAGUACCGUCUUAUUAAGAUCUCUAGGCAGGACCCCCAAAGAAAAAAACUCAUGAACUAAACGGAAUAUAUCAUGCUGAAUGAUAUCCCAAUGGGUCUGAUAAAAAAGUCCAUUUAGACCAUCGGGCCCUGGAGCUUUCAGCGCACCCAACUGAAAAGUCGCCAGUCUAACCUCCUCUCUUGUAAGCUCAGCAAUUAAAUGCUCAUUCAUCUCAGCAGAUACUAACGGUUGACAUUGAUCUAGGAUUGGUCUAUAGUCCCGGUAACCAAUAGAGGUGUAUAAGGUAGAGAAAUAGUCAUAAGUCAUCUCCUUUAAGGUCGGAAUAUCUCUCACCCAGUUAAGGCUCUCAUCCCUUAACAUUCCAAUCCUAUUGCGCUGCCUCUGCUGCACUAUAGUGGCAUGAAAGAAUUUGUUGUUUUUGUCUCCCCAUUUUAACCGGUUAACACGAGACCGCAUUGCCCAAAAUUGUUCUUCCUGCUGCCAUAGUGUCCGGAUUUCCCCACGCAGCUGUUCUGCUUCUUCGGUAUCAGUGUUGGAAAGAUAUGGCUUGUUAAUAAGAGAUUGGAGCUGCUGUUGUAAGGCUGGCACCCUCAAGUGACCAUUCUCAAAUUUUGCCCGACUCCAUUUUCGUAGAUUAGAAGAAACAAUUCUGAGUUUGCGCAAAAGAUGGGAAUUGCGUACCUGGAUGGAGUUCCAUGUGUCAGAAAUAACCUCUCUACACUCCGGAUCUUGGUUCCAAUACGCUUCAAAGACAAAAGGGCGUUGACAUCUAGGAUAAGAUAUCAAUGUGGACAAGAGGAGUGGGCUGUGAUCAGACCCCAUAGCCGGCAAGGCAAAGACCUGGGCUUCCGGGUAAAGAAGUCUCCACUCUGUCGUGCACAGAACACGGUCCAACCGUUCUUUGAUUUGUUCCAGACCAUCCCUAUUAUUCGACCAUGUAAAAGUGCAGCCCUUGCUCUCAACCUCCAUAAAUGCACAGUCAUUGAUAACAUCUCGAAAAGAUUGCAUUCUAUACCGUUCCGGAGCCCGCCUACCCACCUUUUCCCAAGAGUACAGGACUUCAUUAAAAUCUCCAGCACAUAUCCAAGGGAGAUUAUUGGAGGAACUGAUCAGACGAAGAUUAUCCCAAAGUAACUAUCUAUUAUGGUAGGAGUAUGGUGCGUGAAGACAGGUAAUGCGCAUAAGCUUGUUUUCCACUAAAUCCCGACAGAUGAGAUCAAAAUAUUCCGCCAAAUAAGAGACCAUGUCUACUAAUAAGGUAUCAUUCCAAAAAAGCGACAAGCCUCCGGCAAGACCUACAGGAUUCGGUACAAAAGAGUGACUGUACUUUAACCGUCGUUGCAAACGAUUAAGAACAUUAUCAGUAUUCUUAGUCUCCAUUAAAAACAAAAAGUCAGGCUUUUCUUUGGCCGUCAAGGCCUUUAAGGCUUGAACUGUCAGGGGAUUGCCCAAACCCUGACAGUUCCAACAGAUAAGCUUCAUUUGUAAGUCGGUGGCUGUUUAGGGCCAGCCCCCAAAGCCCACGUAUUCCCUUCUGCUGUGUCCAAAACAGGUGUGUCCAGCAAUUGAGCAUCAUCAAAGUUCUCUAUCAUGAUAUGUUUCGAUUCAUAGGGAGAAUAUCUUUUCUGUUUCUUUGCAAGGGCCAACUUAUGAGUAACUCGGGGAGCAUUCAGUUUUUGUUGUGGUGGCUUAUCCAUAAUAGAACUUAUUGGGCCCUUCUGUUUGGCUUGUGCAGGGAUUAAAGCCGUUGUAAUUAUAUGACCUGGUUGUGGAGAAGUCUGCCUGUGACAUCCAGAUUUUCGGAUUCUAAUUUCAACUGGAUAAAUAGGGCCGUUUUCGUUUGGUUGAAGCCGGGAUUAUGAAAUUGAGAUGCAUGAUGGGUGCAUGAGUGAGGAAAAAUGUCAAUUGAAGUAUAGAGGUGUCAAUUUAAAUUAUGGAGAUUAAAUGAGGAUAAACGGAGUAAGAUUGAGUAACCAAUUGGUGCCUUAUACUUGCAAUUUCGUGUGCCCCUCCCCUCCCUAGCCAAAUGGACCAAAAAGAGAAGUCAUGGGGUGUGUUUUGGUGGACCAUUGGUAGCCAAGGGAUUAUACAUGGCCAAGACUAAGUCUUGGAGAUAUUUUGUAAAGAAAAUAUCAAGCCAAGAGGCCCCCACCUCUCCCUCAUCUCUAUCUCUUCUCUUCCUCACCCUCACACCACCGUCCAUCUCCCUCCUCCCUCUAACGACUUCCUCCUCUCUGUUCUGGCCUCAUUUUCAUUUUUCAUGGAAAAACCGGCAGCUCCUUCCUUUGAAAGCUGAAGCCCCUUGCAGCGCCACACGUCCACGCCUCCACUUGUGUCGGUCAAUGAAAGGAGCUGUCUUCACCGAUUGUUGACUGCCCGGCUCUGCUUCGUCCACCGUUACGUUCCCCCGCACUAAGCCAGCAUCGAAGGAGUCACGCCAGCACAUCCAGUCAACUUCAGCUCUUCGUGGACUCUGUGCCGCGUGUCUUUCCUCUACCAGCGACCACCGAAAUUUCGGUCGAGCACCCAGCAGCUUCAUCGACGCCAAAAGCUGCUCUCCUCUCCAUAGCCACGUCCACUUCUUUUCUUCACGGCUGCCGAAGUCAAACGCUCAACUGCCGUGCAUCUACUGCCCAUCAGCCCAACAAGCGUUUGUGCCCCUUCUCCACCGAGUUUGUCGGCCACCGAGUCAGCCGAGUCAAGCCACGAAGCAGCAUCCACGAGCUGCCACGUCCUUGGUCAACUGCAGCUCCACCGAAUACUACAGCCCCGUGAUCUGUUUCCUCCCAUCGCACGCUCGGUCAUUUUUCACCAACGAAGACCCAAGCUGGUCUCCUUCUACCGAAGCCGAUUGCUGGUGUUGUUGACCGUGAAGCCACCUGUGCAGCAGCCGUUUGUGCACCCAUCUCCAAGCGUCUUCUUCUCCAGCAGCUCUUCUUCAGCUCGUGGACUCAUUGUCUCUCUUGCUCACGUCAACAGGCCAAGGAGCAGCCCACGGUUUGGGCCAGCAAUUCCAGUAGCUUCACGGCCCAGCAAGCCCAAGAGAAAGAGCAGCCCAUCUCCUUCAGCCCAAGAAGCUAGUGAAGCCCAGCGAAGCCUGCACAUUUGACCCAUCUGAAGACAAGCCCAGCAACUUUCCUCAGUCCAGCAAGUGGUUAUUUGCUCAGUUCAGCCCAUCUUAAAGCCCAAGAAGUUUCAGUAGCUCAGCCGCGAAGUUAGUCGGCCCAAGUUUGGCCGCCCGUCAUGUCGCCGUCGCGGUUUUCAAUCUUUGCUUUGCCAAGUGAGUUUUACUCACUAAUGCCUUCUUAGUUUGCUAAUUAUACUUAAAGGUUGAUUAGUGUUAAUUAAGUGUAAUUAGGUUGUUAGAUUAGAAUUGAUUAGUGAUUAUUAGUUAAUUGGUUUGCAUAAUAGUUGUGUGAUUAGUGUAAUUAGAUAGAGAAUUGCCUAUAGUAUUUAUUGGAUGCUUCUUGGGAUUUUUCCCGUCCCUUAUCGGUGUUAAUUAAGCGAUUCGGGCCUAGGUGGUAUUUUAGGAAUUAAUAUUAAUUUUCGAAAUUAAUUAUUUAAAUUAUUUAUUUCCCGGAAAUUCAAUUGGGAUGGCCAGUGACCGGGAUUUUAUGCUGAUGAUGGUGGCGCAGACCGUUUAUUUAAUUGAGCUUUAUAUUGUGCUAAAUUGAAUUUAUUGUAUUUAUUUAUUUAAUUUUCGAAAUUAUUUAUUUAAUUAUUUAUUUUCCGGAAAUUCAAUUGGGAUGGCCAGUGACCGGGAUUUUAUGCUGAUGAUGGUGGCGCAGACCAUUUAUUUAAUUGAGCUUUAUAUUGUGCUAAAUUGAAUUUAUUGUAUUUAUUUAUUUAAUUUUCGAAAUUAAUUAUUUAAUUAUUUAUUUUCCGGAAAUUCAACUUGGAUGGCCAACGACCGAAAUUUUAUGCUGAUUUUCGUGGCGCAGUCCGUUUAUUUAAUUGAGCCAUAUUUCAUGCUGAAUUGAAUUAUUUGUGAAAGAAGGAAUUAUUCUUUAAUUAAAUAAUCUUUGGUUAUUAAUUGAAAAAGAACUGGGCUUUGGUUGAUAAUGCCAAAAGGAUAUGAGUGGACUACAGAAAAUGGUGGAAUUUAUAAAAAUGAAAUUAUUAUGUUUUGGCUAAGGCCAAUUGAGUAUCCACUCAUGGUAUUUUAUCGGGAAUGAUAAAACUGGUUAUUUGAUUAUUGCUUGGAAUGAUAUGAUCUACCAGCUCGAUGACUCUACGGAGCAUCUGGAGACAGGACGGUAUGAUAAAUUGUGUGUAUACCGGCUCGAUGACUCUACAGAGCAUCUGGAGACAGGACGGUAUGAUAAAUUGUGUGUAUACCGGCUCGAUGACUCUACGGGGCAUCUGGAGACAGGACGGUAUGAUAAAUUGUGUGUAUACCGGCUCGAUGACUCCACGGAGCAUCUGAGACANNNNNNNNNNNNNNNNNNNNNNNNNNNNNNNNNNNNNNNNNNNNNNNNNNNNNNNNNNNNNNNNNNNNNNNNNNNNNNNNNNNNNNNNNNNNNNNNNNNNUUCAAGCAUUUCCCAAUUGCCCAAUGGCAUCAGGCAACUUUCCUAUCUUGGUGUUUCCCAUCCUGAUGAAUUGAGCUUCCUCAAAUUGCGAUUGAAUCAGGUACAUUGACUACUCCUGAGAAUGACAGAUCUAAGUAAAUCAGCGAUUCUAAUUUCCCAAGUGAGUGCGGAAGCUCCUUGAUCCUUUUGCAACCUUCUAUAGACAAAUGCUUGAUUUUCACUAGUACUCCAAUAGAGUGUGGGAGUCUGCUUAUUGUCUCAUUCCAUUUUAUACUCAAACUCGACAAAAAUUGCAAAUUGCCAAUUGUCUCCGGAAGCUUGCACGGUAGAGAAUUUUUGGGCUUGAUUAACUCCAUCAAAGAGUUUAGAGAACUAACUUCUUUUGGCAAUCCUGAAGAGAAUUGCAUCCUUCCAUAUUCAGAGUGCUCAAGUUCUGUAGGUUAAUAAUGGAGCGAUCUAUGGUGACUAACUUGGAACACCAAGCAAGAAUCAAUAUCUCCAGAUACGUGAAGUUAGACAAGUCAGGUGUGCUUCUCAAGCAAUUGCAGCUUCUCAAAUCUAAAACUUUUAACUUUUUCGCCAU
This 15956-nucleotide long non-coding RNA is filed under the name Eucalyptus grandis. RNAcentral describes it as "long non-coding RNA (EGRA_LNC006493)". Lineage: Eukaryota; Viridiplantae; Streptophyta; Magnoliopsida; Myrtales; Myrtaceae. The record is from RNAcentral.